RNAcentral lists this ribosomal RNA (332 nucleotides) under uncultured bacterium. Its description in RNAcentral is "bacterial SSU rRNA". It matches the Rfam family "Bacterial small subunit ribosomal RNA", at positions 568 to 898 of the family's 1533-position model. The record is from RNAcentral.
CGUGUAGGCGGUUUUUUAAGUCUGAUGUGAAAGCCCUGGGCUCAACCUGGGAAGUGCAUUGGAUACUGGAAGACUUGAGUACGGGAGAGGGUAGUGGAAUUCCUAGUGUAGGAGUGAAAUCCGUAGAUAUUAGGAGGAACACCGGUGGCGAAGGCGGCUGCCUGGACCGAUACUGACGCUGAGACGCGAAAGCGUGGGGAGCAAACAGGAUUAGAUACCCUGGUAGUCCACGCCGUAAACGAUGAGAACUAGGUGUUGCGGGUAUUGACCCCUGCAGUGCCGUAGCUAACGCAUUAAGUUCUCCGCCUGGGAAGUACGGUCGCAAGACUAAA